This 294-nucleotide ribosomal RNA is filed under the name Aphonopelma sp. RNAcentral's name for it is "partial 28S ribosomal RNA". It matches the Rfam family "Eukaryotic large subunit ribosomal RNA", at positions 1592 to 1867 of the family's 3401-position model. Lineage: Eukaryota; Metazoa; Arthropoda; Arachnida; Araneae; Theraphosidae. The record is from RNAcentral.
GACCGAAAGGGAAUCGGGUCAAUAUUCCCGAACCUGGACACGGAGAUCGGGCCCUCGGGUCCCAGUGCGGCGACGCAACCGAACUCGGAGAAGUCGACGGCAGUCCCGGGAAGAGUUGUCUUUUCUUUGUAAGGGUCUGGGUCCCUGGAAUCGGCUCGUCCGGAGAUAGGGAUGCUGCUCCCGUAAAGCACCGCGGCUCUUGCGGUGUCCGGAGCGCUGCCGUCGGCCCUUGAAAAUCCGAGGGAGGAAGUGUGAUUUUCGUGCCAGACCGUACCCAUAUCCGCAGCAGGUCUC